RNAcentral lists this ribosomal RNA (483 nucleotides) under uncultured bacterium. RNAcentral's name for it is "partial 16S ribosomal RNA". It matches the Rfam family "Bacterial small subunit ribosomal RNA", at positions 28 to 506 of the family's 1533-position model. The record is from RNAcentral.
AUUGAACGCUGGCGGCAUGCUUUACACAUGCAAGUCGAACGGCAGCGCGGGCUUCGGCCUGGCGGCGAGUGGCGAACGGGUGAGUAAUGCAUCGGAACGUGCCCAGUAGUGGGGGAUAGCCCGGCGAAAGCCGGAUUAAUACCGCAUACGACCUGAGGGUGAAAGCGGGGGACCGAAAGGCCUCGCGCUAUUGGAGCGGCCGAUGUCGGAUUAGCUAGUUGGUGGGGUAAAGGCUUACCAAGGCGACGAUCCGUAGCUGGUCUGAGAGGACGAUCAGCCACACUUGGACUGAGACACGGCCCAGACUCCUACGGGAGGCAGCAGUGGGGAAUUUUGGACAAUGGGGGCAACCCUGAGCCAGCCAUGCCGCGUGCGGGAAGAAGGCCUUCGGGUUGUAAACCGCUUUUGUUCGGGAAGAAAUCCUCUGGGCUAAUACCCCGGGGGGAUGACGGUACCGGAAGAAUAAGCACCGGCUAACUACGU